UAAUUCCUUUGUAUUCCAGCCGAGCUUGUCAUUCCAGACAAUGCGAACGUCUAUUACGCCUUGAACUCAAACGUGGAAUCUCUGUUAUUUAAACUCAAGAAAAAGGAGAGCAAAAGUUCCAGCUGAGGUUUGUCUUAUUCUGGAGAUGAGGCGAAAGAACGAGAGACGUUGUCAAUGAAGAACCAGGAUUUCAGAUCCACUUGCAAAUCUACUGAAUUCACUGGAAAACCACCCCUGAAGUUCACUGAUGUCUGAAGGGGGACCUUGCUUAGCAAAGCCGCCCAAGAAUCAAGAAACAGCUGUAUCAGGGAAUUCUGUUAGUGUAGAACAAUUUUUAAGCCUAGUGGUUUAAACGUUGCAUUUCACAUUUGCCGAAUCUAAUUCAGGAAUUAAAUUCUAGUGAAAUCCGACUGUCACUGCACUCAAAUGCAACUCUUCUCACAUCUUCGACUUGGUCAGUCGAAUUUUCGACAGAAGUUUGCCAUUUUUUAUUCGACUUUUUUAAAUUCUCAUUCGCACAUAUGAAAAGCGACGUUUGAACUCAUGCUUACGUGCAGACCAAUCUGCAGUUUGCUUUGUACAUGUUUAUGUUCUAAAUUUGUCUGAGGCCCCGUCCAUACUACGCUGGAGAAAUUUGAAAACGAAGCUUUAUUUCUAUGGUCAGGCGCUCCGUCCACACUAAACCGGAGGAAUUUGAAAAUGCCGGCUUUGAGUUUUAGUGUGGACUAAAACAUUUCGAAAAUGUCACGAUAAUUAUAUGUUUAAACCUGACCCUGAAGGGUGGACUGAAGCGUUUCUGCCCCAAGUGAAUGUCGCGUUUUCAGAUUUCUUCGGCGUAGUGUGGCCGGGUUCUGAUAGGUUGAGCACCAUGUGCUGAUCUCAAAAUGACUAUAGUUUGAUUGGUCGGUCAGGUGACAUGCAACACGCGUGCGUGACGUAUUGGUCACGUGGAAAGGAUAUGCUUACGCGUGCGUAGUGAGCCAAUUGUAAAUAGCAAAAUGUUCUGUAAAUAUCAAAUGAUCCUAUAUCAACCCCUGGGGGUUUGUUGUCGACAAAACUGAAUGACAUAAAAAAAGGCAAGAAUUCUGGAGAUUCCUCGAACGGAGGAAGAUAAUAAUUUUUUUAAAUUGCAUUUUAUGACAAGAGAAACAAAUGAUCAAAAUUUUAGCUCAGGUAUAACUCAAAAUAUGUUUUCAAUAUUUUUAUAUUUUUCUUCAGUUGUAAAUUUGUUUCUAGAUAAAAUGCGAGCUCGGAUGAGGAAGGUUUUCAGAUUUUUAUAUAUGAGCAUAUAUGGAUAUAAGCUUUUAGCCGCAAGCCUGGUUAGCUUCUUUUUUUAACAUAAAAUGGAGAGGGAAAGAAAUUAUAAUGACCCGAAACAAAGAGAGUAUUAGAAACACGAAAGUAGAAGCAAGCUGGAGCGGAUCUUGGGGGGCUCGGGGGAUUCGGGGGAACCCCCUCAAUUUUUAAAAAAUGAGACAUUAUCAUACGCUGACUUAGCCUCGGAAUGCCGCAAAUCCCAUUUCCGAGGACCUCAAUAUUAAAAACUUCCGGGGAAGAAUGCCCCCGGACCCCCCACCCUCCCUACAAAGGAGCGGCUUCGGGGGUCCGUAUCUUAAACCCCCUUCUCUAACAUCCUAUAUUCGCCCCAGGAACAAGGGAACAAUUCAUUGAACUCACUCUGUCGCUCAUUUUAGCAGUCAAUUUCAUUCGUUAUUUUGUGUUGGAAAAACGUUUACUUUUCGGACGUUUUCGACUGACAAGUGCAAUGUUUGAUUGCUGACUCGUGCGACAGAGUAAACUCUAAUACGAAAGUAGAUCUCUCAGUUCUCGCAAUUUUAUUUUUCAACAAAUGCCAUGAAAAUAAAAUUUGAGAGCACAAAUGGUUCCUUUGA
Orbicella faveolata is the source of this 1892-nucleotide long non-coding RNA. Lineage: Eukaryota; Metazoa; Cnidaria; Anthozoa; Scleractinia; Merulinidae. The record is from RefSeq and is a predicted model, not a curated record.